This 253-nucleotide ribosomal RNA is filed under the name uncultured bacterium. Its description in RNAcentral is "partial 16S ribosomal RNA". It matches the Rfam family "Bacterial small subunit ribosomal RNA", at positions 524 to 776 of the family's 1533-position model. The record is from RNAcentral.
UACGUAGGGGGCUAGCGUUGUCCGGAAUCAUUGGGCGUAAAGCGCGUGUAGGCGGUCCGGUAAGUCCGCUGUGAAAGCCUGGGGCUCAACCCCGGGUCGGCCGUGCGAACUGGGGGGCUGGAGCACUGUAGAGGCAGGCGGAAUUCCGGGUGUAGCGGUGGAAUGCGUAGAGAUCCGGAAGAACACCGGUGGCGAAGGCGGCCUGCUGGGCAGUUGCUGACACUGAGGCGCGACAGCCAGGGGAGCAAACGGG